Molecule: small nuclear RNA, 139 nt
Filed under: Neogale vison (American mink)
Lineage: Eukaryota; Metazoa; Chordata; Mammalia; Carnivora; Mustelidae
Description: Neovison vison (American mink) U4 spliceosomal RNA (ENSNVIG00000017434.1)
Source: RNAcentral
AGUUUUGCACAGUGGCAGCAUGGUGGCUAGUGAUGUUUAUCUAAGGCGCCAUUAUUGCAAAUUGAAACAGUUCAGCGACAUGAAAAGCAAUAAAAGUUAGACUAGAAAUCCCCCCUAAAUAUGAAACAUUCCACAGAUU